RNAcentral lists this transfer RNA (64 nucleotides) under Cavia porcellus (domestic guinea pig). It matches the Rfam family "tRNA", at positions 1 to 62 of the family's 71-position model. Rfam says of the family: Transfer RNA (tRNA) molecules are approximately 80 nucleotides in length. The record is from Rfam by way of RNAcentral. Lineage: Eukaryota; Metazoa; Chordata; Mammalia; Rodentia; Caviidae.
GGGGAUUUAGCUCAGCGGCAUAAGUACCUGCCUUGCAAGCAGGUGGUCGUGAGUUCAAUCCCCA